Small nucleolar RNA from Acomys russatus (golden spiny mouse), 105 nucleotides. RefSeq annotates it as small nucleolar RNA U13. Lineage: Eukaryota; Metazoa; Chordata; Mammalia; Rodentia; Muridae. The transcript has a single exon. The record is from RefSeq and is a predicted model, not a curated record.
AUACUGUUUUAGUUUAUAAACAUGAUAAUUGGGUGUCCAUGUCCUUGUGUGAUGUGUACCAUACAUUAAAUCAUUUUACAACAUGAGUACAUUAUUUCCCUGUUG